Molecule: ribosomal RNA, 425 nt
Filed under: uncultured bacterium
Lineage: Bacteria
Description: partial 16S ribosomal RNA
Rfam family: Bacterial small subunit ribosomal RNA
Source: RNAcentral
GUGGGGAAUCUUAGACAAUGGGGGAAACCCUGAUCUAGCCAUGCCGCGUGAGCGAUGAAGGCCUUAGGGUUGUAAAGCUCUUUCAGCUGGGAAGAUAAUGACGGUACCCACAGAAGAAGCCCCGGCUAACUCCGUGCCAGCAGCCGCGGUAAUACGGAGGGGGCUAGCGUUGUUCGGAAUUACUGGGCGUAAAGCGCACGUAGGCGGAUCGGAAAGUUGGGGGUGAAAUCCCAGGGCUCAACCCUGGAACUGCCUUCAAAACUAUCGGUCUGGAGUCCGAGAGAGGUGAGUGGAAUUCCGAGUGUAGAGGUGAAAUUCGUAGAUAUUCGGAGGAACACCAGUGGCGAAGGCGGCUCACUGGCUCGGUACUGACGCUGAGGUGCGAAAGCGUGGGGAGCAAACAGGAUUAGAAACCCUUGUAGUCC